CCACAACAAAAAUAUUUCCACUUCCAGGGCUGUUUGCUGAGUAGAAAAAUGUCUGCUACACCAAAAGAUAUUGUUGAGUGGUUCAAGGCCGAGUAUCCCAAGCACAGAGGGACCUUUCUCUUCUACUACCGCGGGGACUGGUGACCUUUCUGUGUCAAGUUCAUCGAGAAGCUCGUUGGGCUUCAAGAUGAGCUGAAGAAGGCGGGGGACAUACAAGCGGUGGGGGUAUGUGCACAGCCUGCGGAUAAGGUUGACGAGGUCAUAGCUAAAACCAAAGCUCCAUUCCCAAUCUUCUCUGAUCCUGAACACAAACUUCGUAACUACCUCUCAGAGCAGGAGCUACUCCAAGUGGUCAUCAGCGGAGGAGAGCAGUCAAAGAACGAGUUCUACAAGAACUUCAAGUGGUUUGCUCCAUAUAAAAAUGGAGUGGCGCAAGCUGCCAUCAUGUUUAUAACACGUGAUGGUGAUGUUGCUUAUGCUUGGGCAGUACAGCCAGCCUCCAUCAACUGGUGGGGAGCUAAGACUCGUCCUGAUCCUCAAGAUGUGUGGGCUGAAGUUGCUCCAUACCUGGAGGAAAAGAAUAAAACCUAAACUUGCCAUCCCUAGUAGCUUAAACAUUUCCCCAUUAAUUUCAUUGUGUGUGUGUGUGUGUUAGUUUAGUGUAGUGACAGUCAUUGUAGUAGCUAGUAUCAAGAGUACUCUUGCUGGUAUGUGUAGUGUGUAUUUGGGUCUUUAUCAGUUGUAGUGUGAUGGGAAGUGUGUUAAACCAUUGUUGAAUCAUGGAGCACACUCUCUGAUGGUAUCAUGCACUGAGAGAGACAUUAUAAAUCACAUUCACAAUACUUGUAUUUAAUUUUACAAUUGAAAGAAAUCUUUGCAAAUCAUCUAUUGAACAAGCAGACACAAUGUACAAUGAAUAUCAUAGUUUGUAUAGUCCUAAUGAAAUAUUAGAGAGGCAGGCCUAUCUUUCAGAAGAAGUCAAAAAUGUCUUCCACUCCAGCAGAUAUUGUUGAGUGGUUCAAGGCUGAAUAUCCCAAGCAUAGAGGGAUCUUUCUCUUCUAUUACCAUGGUGGUUGGUGACCUCCAUGUAGGGGGUUCAUUAGUAAAGCUAUUGAGCUUUAUAAUGAGAGCCUACAGACAGGAGGGAUACAAGUGGUAGGGGUGUGUGCAGAGCCAGUGGAGAAGGUUGAUGAGACCAUAGCUAAAACCAAAGCUCCAUUCCCAAUCUUCUCUGAUCCUGAACAUAAACUUCGUAACUACCUCUCAGAGCAGGAACUACUCCAAGUGGUCAUCAAUGGAGGAGAGCAGUCAAAGAAUGAGUUCUACAAGAACUUCAAGUGGUUUGUUCCAUACAAGAAGGGGGUUACACAGCCAGCUAUCAUGUUUAUAACAGGUGACGGUGAUGUGGCAUAUGCUUGGGCAGUACAGCCAGCCUCCAUCAACUGGCGAGGAGCUAAAAAUCGUCCUGAUCCUCAAGAUGUGUGGGCUGAAGUUGCUCCUUACCUGGAGGAGAAGAACAAA
Amphimedon queenslandica is the source of this 1521-nucleotide long non-coding RNA. RefSeq lists it as uncharacterized. The record is from RefSeq and is a predicted model, not a curated record. The transcript has 3 exons. NCBI's taxonomy places the organism in Eukaryota, Metazoa, Porifera, Demospongiae, Haplosclerida, Niphatidae.